Long non-coding RNA from Ostrinia nubilalis (European corn borer), 512 nucleotides. RefSeq lists it as uncharacterized. The transcript is spliced from 3 exons. The record is from RefSeq and is a predicted model, not a curated record. Lineage: Eukaryota; Metazoa; Arthropoda; Insecta; Lepidoptera; Crambidae.
CUAUCCAUUGUGUAUUCCUACUGUUGUAAUAAAUUAAUUUCGUGGACAAAUCUAUCUUCUAUUUUUCUACUGUAAAAUCACACUCAGCCACACGCUCACACACGUCUGACAUUGAAAAGACAGGGAUUUUUCUUGUUUUGACGUAUUUUCUAACCUCUUAGAAUGUUAUUAGAAGUCGUAAUAAAAUAAUUUGAAUAUAAAGCUAUGUUUUAAAGUAAAUAAAGACCAUUUAACGAUGUUAACAUGAUGAGACAUCGAUUUUAUGGAAUGGAGGAGAAGAUUUAACAGCUAGAAAUUAACAAAAAUCCUGCAAGAGCAUCGAGAUCUCGCUUUUGGCGAGUGGAAGUCCAAAGGCAAAGUGCAGCGGUUUGCAGUUCUUAGCCUCACUUUUUUGGACCUAACAAGACAGGAAAAGAAUAGUCAAAGAGGAAACCCGAGUAGCCAGAUGAUAAUAUAUGAAACCAUGAGCAGCCAGCCAUUGAAACUCUCAGCAAUUUGAAUAACAAUUUUGA